Long non-coding RNA from Papaver somniferum (opium poppy), 1277 nucleotides. RefSeq lists it as uncharacterized. NCBI's taxonomy places the organism in Eukaryota, Viridiplantae, Streptophyta, Magnoliopsida, Ranunculales, Papaveraceae. The transcript is spliced from 2 exons. The record is from RefSeq and is a predicted model, not a curated record.
UAAUCCUUCUCAUUUGGCCUUAUCACCACCAAAACGUGUCGAGAGAAAAAACAUUUUCUCUUUUCUUUCUCUUUCUUCUUCUCCUUCUUCUCUGUUCCUCUUAUCCUUCUUUCUGUCGAUCUCUGUUAAGAAGAACUGAGUUAUUCUUGUGCAAUUUGUUCAUAGAAAUUUAGUUGGCUCGAUGCAUGAAGAAGAUGAUGUGAUGUUAUAGUUGAUUUAGUUGCGGGAGAAGAAUGAACUGAUGCUGCUGAGGAUUGAUACUUAGAGUUCGGUUUUGAGAACGAAGAAUUAAGAAGAGCUGAGUACGAUCGAGGAGUAUAUGAUGGUAGUGAUGUUGAUUCAAGUAGUUGAUUCAGAUUUACAAGAAAAAGUUACUAUGUAUUAACAUCGAUCGAUUCAACGGAUGAUCAUGUAGACUUCGGAUCUCGAGGAAGGUGAGGCUUGUCAUCUAAUCAGGUGGGAACUCUUUAACCUUCUUUUAAUCAUUGAGCAUUCUUUCUAUUGCGAACAUGAUGAGUCUUUAUUACUUUUGUAAUGAUUGUGUGUUUUAUUAUCUAAGUAAUUAUAUGUGUCUUGAUGUGCGUGUAAUAUGCGUUGUAUGAUUUCCCCGCAAGGAGUGUCUGUGAUUCCCCACGGCUCUUUGCUAAGUUAAGUAUGGCGGCUUCUUCCCCGUUUUAAUAUUACAUUGUAGGGCGGCUUCUUCCCCGUUUCAAUAUAUUAGUAGGGCGGCUUCUUCCCCGUUUCGAUAGUAUAUAAAUAAUUUAAAUAGUAUGGCGGCUUCUUCCCCGUUUUAAUAUUACCUAGUAGGGUGGCUUCUUCCACGUUUCGAUAGUAUAUAAUUAACAUAGUAGAGCGACUUCUUCCCCGUUAUAAUGUUACCUAGUAGGGAGGCUUCUUCCCAGUUUCAUUAUUAUAUAUACUACUUUAUUAUGGGGAAAUCACUCGUGUGCAUAUUAUACUUGUUUUUCUAACUUCCUGAUCUUGAUAGUAAUAUUUUGAAUCAUGGUUUGUCUGGGCAAUCUGUGUGGACGAUGCUAUUAUUAUUGAUUAGGGUUGCUCUCGCGUCGUCUUCUCCAAUGAGUUUGGCGAGGUUAGAGUGACACUUGCUUAAUGAUGCAUAAAUAACUGAAUGAUUAAUUUCUUCUUGUUUCUUUCGAUUUAUAUUCUUUUAGAACUUUGAAGCAUGUUAGUGAUUACUUGAGAGUUGCAUGUUUUCGUUGAGCCCCCUUUUUGGGAUGAUGUGCUCAUUCGUUCCCACUUCAGUUUCAGUAUUCAGA